RNAcentral lists this ribosomal RNA (549 nucleotides) under uncultured Glomeromycotina. RNAcentral describes it as "SSU rRNA". It matches the Rfam family "Eukaryotic small subunit ribosomal RNA", at positions 548 to 1098 of the family's 1831-position model. Lineage: Eukaryota; Fungi; Glomeromycota. The record is from RNAcentral.
UUGGAGGGCAAGUCUGGUGCCAGCAGCCGCGGUAAUUCCAGCUCCAAUAGCGUAUAUUAAAGUUGUUGCAGUUAAAAAGCUCGUAGUUGAAUUUCGGGGUCAGCAGGUUGGUCGUGCCACUGGUAUGCACUGGCUUCGCUGAUUCCUCCUUUCUGAAGAACUGUAAUGCCAUUAAUUUGGUGUUGCAGGGAAACAGGACUGUUACUUUGAAAAAAUUAGAGUGUUUAAAGCAGGCUUUGGCUUGAAUACAUUAGCAUGGAAUAAUGAAAUAGGGCGUUCGAUCCUAUUUUGUUGGUUUCUAGGAUUGACGUAAUGAUUAAUAGGGAUAGUUGGGGGCAUUAGUAUUCAAUUGUCAGAGGUGAAAUUCUUGGAUUUAUUGAAGACUAACUACUGCGAAAGCAUUUGCCAAGGAUGUUUUCAUUAAUCAAGAACGAAAGUUAGGGGAUCGAAGACGAUCAGAUACCGUCGUAGUCUUAACCAUAAACUAUGCCGACUAGGGAUCGGAUGAUGUUAAUUUUUUAAUGACUCAUUCGGCGCCUUACGGGAAAC